RNAcentral lists this ribosomal RNA (492 nucleotides) under uncultured bacterium. RNAcentral describes it as "partial 16S ribosomal RNA". It matches the Rfam family "Bacterial small subunit ribosomal RNA", at positions 29 to 507 of the family's 1533-position model. The record is from RNAcentral.
AGUGAACGCUGGCGGUAGGCCUAACACAUGCAAGUCGAACGGCAGCACAGUAAGAGCUUGCUCUUACGGGUGGCGAGUGGCGGACGGGUGAGGAAUACAUCGGAAUCUACUUUUUCGUGGGGGAUAACGUAGGGAAACUUACGCUAAUACCGCAUACGACCUACGGGUGAAAGCAGGGGAUCUUCGGACCUUGCGCGAUUGAAUGAGCCGAUGUCGGAUUAGCUAGUUGGCGGGGUAAAGGCCCACCAAGGCGACGAUCCGUAGCUGGUCUGAGAGGAUGAUCGGCCCAACUGGAACUGAGACAAGGUCCAGACUCCUACGGGAGGGAGCAGUGGGGAAUUUUGGGCAAUGGGCGAAAGCCUGACGCAGCCACGCCGCGUGAGGGAAGAAGGCCUUCGGGUUGUAAAACCCUUUUUUUAGGGAAGAAAAUAUGGGAGAUUAACUCCCCACUUUUUGACGGUACCCAAAAAAAAAGCCACGGCUAACUUCGUG